GACGUAGGGCGCGAGCGUUGUCCGGAUUUAUUGGGCGUAAAGAGCGUGUAGGCGGUUCGGUAAGUCUGUCGUGAAAUCCUGAGGCUCAACCUCGGGCGUGCGAUGGAUACUGCCGGGCUAGAGGAUGGUAGAGGCGAGUGGAAUUCCCGGUGUAGCGGUGAAAUGCGCAGAUAUCGGGAGGAACACCAGUAGCGAAGGCGGCCCCCUGGGCCGCGCCUGACGCUGAGACGCGAAAGCGCGGGGAGCGAACGGG
RNAcentral lists this ribosomal RNA (253 nucleotides) under uncultured bacterium. Its description in RNAcentral is "partial 16S ribosomal RNA". It matches the Rfam family "Bacterial small subunit ribosomal RNA", at positions 524 to 776 of the family's 1533-position model. The record is from RNAcentral.